This is a long non-coding RNA of Acipenser ruthenus (sterlet), 6684 nucleotides long. RefSeq lists it as uncharacterized. NCBI's taxonomy places the organism in Eukaryota, Metazoa, Chordata, Actinopteri, Acipenseriformes, Acipenseridae. The record is from RefSeq and is a predicted model, not a curated record. The transcript is spliced from 5 exons.
GCAACAGCUGCCGCACUUCCUAUUUGAGAAGGAGCGGAGCUAACUCUUCUCCAGGAUGUAUCAUUCUAAAUUUUGGAAAUACUUCACACGUGGCCUUCUCCGACAUCAAACUAAAGGAAAAUGUAUAUAAAGUCUCAGAAGGUUUUCCAGGGGAUGAGAAGCGGAGCAGUGCUGGUGGGCUGGUUGGGAGUUGCCCUCACUCUGGUCUCCUGCACCUCAGGAUUCUCACACGGAGCCAACCCCUCUGCCUGUGCCGAUAUGAAGCCGAGACACAUCCGAGCUCAGCCCCACAACCCCCACAACAACCACAUCACACUCCACACCGACAGAGCCUCCUACCUGCCAGGAGACGGGGUGCCUGUGGCGGUGAGGAGCAGUCGAAGCUUCAUGGGGUUCCUGAUUCAACCGCGCCGUGUCAUGAUGAUCACAUCACAGGCUCCUUUGUUGUCGCUCCGCCCGGCUCCAAGCUGCUGAGCUGCCUGGAGGAGGGAGACACCGUGACCCACUCCGACAAGUCCCUGAAAAGAAACCUCUCCUUCGUGUGGAGGGCACCCGAUCAGCCCUCCGGAGACAUAUGUUUCUUCUUAUGCUCCUGUGACACACAAAUCUGUUCAAUACCUCACAUCUAGACCGAUAUUAACCAAACAACCAACCCAAGACUUGGAAACAGAGGAAACUAGAAAAUACACCUCAGGAGCUCCCCUGAUUGGCCUGGUCCUUUCAACAACAGAACCCAGGAAUCUUCACUGAUUCCAGGGAGAGAGGAGGACUCCCCUCAAGCACAGCUAGCAGGAGAACCUACUGAAUACCAGCCACAGGAAAGAUGCCUGAUGCCUUGAGCUGAAUAUCUACAUGUCACAUUAUGGCUGGAGGCAUGUGUGCUGUCUAGUGCACCCUGCAUGAUGCAUCCAAGAUGUUCAAUACCCUGCUCCAGAAAAGACACAUGUUACCUUUGAGGCACAUUCACACUGGAGCAUUUUAAAGCAACAAGGUGCAUAUGUUGUCAAGUGUACAAUACAAAUGAAUUGCCUACAGCUAUGAGCAUGAGGAGGCUACACCGAAGGGAUUGACUUAUAUCACCUCUUUUGAACUAACUGCUAGUCUCAUGCUAUUAAUAAGACUUGCAUAUUUUUUCGCUGAUGUGUUCAGCCCAGGUCAACACUGACAUUUGCAAAUGAAACUAACUGAUAUUGAUCAAUAUCAAACAAGUAGACAGUCAAACUGCCAGCUAUUUUCCUUGUAACAGUGCUAACCUGAAUUUAGUAAAUCACUGAGCACAAUCUGAACCCCAUACGUAAAAUAUCAGUUUACUGAUUUAACUUAAUGCUAAAAUGUCAAAGGCAAAUAAACACUAACUUGUCUAAUGUAUUUUUUUUAAAGAUUGUAUAUAUAGUAGUCAAUUGAAGUACACUUUGGGAAAACCACAUAGGCCUGCAAGCAAGGUAGCUAGACUGAACAAAAGAAAAACAUCUCAGCACUAGAAUAGAACUUGAUCGAUUUAAAUACCAUCUGUGGCUACUGUACAUUUUUGCCUUAACUGAUGUGUCAAUCAGCAUUUUUUCCUCUGUACUGAUAUAAUAAGCCAUGGUUUAGCUAAUUUUGUAAGGUAUAACAGUGUAAUUGUACAUGUAUCAUACAGAAUUCUUCCAUUUGCUCUUAGAUUACAUUAAUUUUCAUACUGUAUGGGAGGUAAGGGGACUGUUCAAAAAUAACAAAAUACUACCUGUUCAUUAAUUAAAGGGGCAUUUUCAGUUUAACGUAAGUAAAGAAACCCAGCCCAAGAUGGCUGUGCAGCCCAAGAUGACUGUGGUGCAGCACAAGAUGGCUGUGCAGCCCAAGAUGACUGUGGUGCAGCCCAAGAUGGAUGUGCAGCCCAAGAUGACUGUCUCUCCUGUUUUCCUGCAUCAGAUACACAGGAUGAAUUAAUCGACAAUUCCAAGUGUUUUGUGUUUUGGGCAGCAGUGUGGAGUAGUGGUUAGGGUUCUGGACUCUUGACCGGAGGGUUGUGGGUUCAAUCCCAGGUGGAGGACACUGCUGUUGUACCCUUGAGCAAGGUACUUUACCUAGAUUGCUCCAGUAAAAACCCAACUGUAUAAAUGGGUAAUUGUAUGUAAAAAUAAUGUGAUAUCUUGUAACAAUUGCAAGUCGCCCUGGAUAAGGGCGUCUGCUAAGAUAUCAAUAAUAAUUAUACUCCUUGGCUGUGCAUGUUGACUCCCAUCCACCACAUACACUAUUUUAAAGAUUUCACAGAUUGGCAGAACAGGACACAUCAUCCUGUGUCAUUUAACACUCGUUUGAUUCCAUUUCAGAAGUGACUUACGUCAGUAGGUCUUAGGAACUGAUAUUCACAAGAUGACAAAUCAUUACCCUUAUCCACCAACUUUGAAAACAGCUCGUGAACAUCCCCUUAUAACUCACAGGUACAGUAUAUGAGCACUGCAAUCACCAUCCAAGCCAACCCUGUAGUUCAGGAGACCUUUAAUAGAGGUUAGUCUAUAAAAAGCAGCCACCUACCUCGUUAAGAGCUUUGAAAUAGGUAUAAAUUCAAGAGAUUGUUUAAAGAGUUACAAAUUCCCUUCGCUUUUCUCAUUCCACUGUUAAAUUUAAGCCGUAUGAUUUACUAAUUUACUGCUUGGUGAAUGCGCCUGUACAUAAAAACUUCUCCAGGUAAAAUGCCUCUACAUUCUUCAACCUAAUGUAACAGCUGACAGCCCAGGAUCCUUUGGGACUAUUUGUUAAUAGCAACUACAGUGAAUUGCAACCAUAACCAAAGUAAUAAGUAACAUGUACUUCAGACUACUUACCUUUUUCAUAUUCCUUCACAUUUAUUGUUCCUAAAUGGUGUUUUUUUUUCAGAGCAGGAAGCCGUAGCACUUACGGUGUAUUUCAGCCAUGCAGGAACUGUGGUGAAGAUGGAGACGUAAAGACGUGUUUUCUUUUUUUUUUUUUCUUUGCCUGAAGCUGGAAUGUGUGGUGUGUGCCCUUGUCAGUUAGACAGUCAGUUUAAUAAUGCUUGAAGUUUAAAUCAUUAAUUUUGAUUUUUUUAGAGUAAAACAAACGUGACAAUUAAAGACUGGUUCAAGUAACUAAUAUUGUCCUGGUUAGUGGUUUUGGUGUGGGAAGUCCAAAAGGCAGGAGAUCAUUAAAAUGACAUUAAGAGUCCAGAGCAUUUGAUUGGUGUUCAUGGUUUAGUUUGGAAUACCAAAGACCAUUGCAGUGAUGGCAUUGUUGUACAUAGGUCAUAGGUCCUGAGUAUUUAAUUUAUAAAAGUGCAUAUUGGUGAUUAUUUAAUCAAUUUGAUAUUUGAUACAAGGGACAUGUGUGGUAAACCCUGAACUUUGUGAUUAUUAGAUAUUUCAAGGUUGUGUUGUGUGCUCUGAGGAUUGUUUAUAAUUUUGUUAACGUUUACCUUUAAAAAGAUUUUCUGCUGUUCACGCUUUGCCUAAUUGCAUAUGCAGCAGUGUGGAGUAGUGGUUAGGGCUUGGACUCUUGAUCGGAGGGUCGUGGGUUCAAUCCCACGUGGGGGGACACUGCUGCUGUACCCUUGAGCAAGGUACUUUACCUAGAUUGCUCCAAUAAAAACCCAACUGUAUAAAUGGGUAAUUGUAUGUAAAAAUAAUGUGAUAUCUUGUAACAAUUGUAAGUCGCCCUGGAUAAGGGUGUCUGCUAAUAAAUAAAUAAAUAAAUAAAUAAUAAUAUGCUGUGAGAUGUGGGCAUAACAAAGACACUAAUAUUGAUGGUGCCUUGUUUACAAUGACUCAUCUUGUAAUUUUAACUGCUUGCAUUUGAUUAUGAAUGACAGUUUUACCAUCACUAUAUUACACGUCCUGUGCUUUGACUUAACAUAAUGCAGAAUUUUACAAGGAAGCAGUUCAUUCUCAUAGACUGUCUAUUGCCUUGAAUGGCAUAUUGCCUUCUUUAUAUUUGCAGAGUUACUUUGUCCAAUUAAAUUCUAUUCCCCUUUGAGAUUUAAAGUCAAACUCUAAAGUAGCUACAAGACUUAACUGUGUAAGACAUGUUUAUCUGUGCCAUUAAAAUUGGUUACUGUAGUUGUUCCUGAAACCAUGUGCCAUUGCUGCAUUUCCUGACCCACUUUGGUUCUGUGACUAGCUCCCUCUGCUGGUAGGUGCUGAGAGACACGGUUGUGUAAUAAUAAGCACAAACUAAUGCAUAGAAACCUGUUCUUUUUGUGUGUUGUGUUUUAAGGCUAGCAUCUUGAGUUCUGGUGUUGAAGAUUCUUUUUUGUCAGCUGCCACACCUCCACCUGCCACAGACUCGUCUCUGGUCGAGCAAGGUCUUAACCAGCCGGACAUCUCAAUGGUGGCUGGAAACCCCUCCCCAGCACCGAGGCGAUCCGGUACGGACGUAGUGACACAAACGUCCUCUGCAGACUUCCUUCAGCAGACAGAGAAGUGGGGGUCCAGGGAGCAGAAGGGUGGCGUAGCCAGAAACACAAGUGCAGACCGAGGUGUCCUUCAGCGAGCAGGACAGCAACAUUAUUCACGUCCAAGAGAGUGGAGAACUGGUGCAAGUACGCAAAACAGCUUUGUCCUGGUCCAGGCUGAAUACAAUGUGAUCACCCCUCCUGGGAAGUGACAUUAUUUAGGAAAUUCCAGAACAAAUUAAUGUAUAAAUGCAGCUUAUUUUUAGUGCAUUAGUGCAUAGAUUAACCUGGCUGUCUUUGUCAAAAGAAAUUUGCUGAAACAAUGUCCCUCCAAAUGUAUUUUUAUUUAAUCUGCUAUUCACUAGUGGCUUACAUAGCUCAUAUUUAUUUACUUGCCUUAUACUGUACUUUAUUAGACAAAAAGCUGUAACAGUAAUUAUUAUUAUUGUUGCCAUAUAUUUGGUGCUGUAGCGCAUCCAGUUAUUUAAUUGGCAGUCACCAAUCCCCAGCUCCCUAUAAAAUUUAAUUUCCACAGCAAUCCAGUUAUUUUUUUCUUUUGAACCUAUUUUUAUUCCUUCAUUUUCCUGCCUUGUUCUUAGUUUGAUGUUUUUUAGUCUCCAAUUUUUAAUGGAAUGUAUGUGAAUGGAUCAACAAGCCCUUAAAAAUUAGAUUUGCAUAUUAUAGUUUGACGUAGGAAUACCAUUAUGUGGUUGUCAUUUUGCUGGUGUCCACUGGAGGUCAGCCUUACACAAUUUGUUAAUAUUCCAGACAAAGCAAAGAAAGCGUGUGGUUGGCGCCAUCUACCAUCUACUAUUGUAACUUCACGAAUGGGAUUAUAAAUGUCUUUAUCCCAUACUGUUAUUUAUUUAUUUUUUAAAAAAAUAUUUUUUACUAUGAUUUAGUCAUUUUGGGCAUAUAAUUCUUUGGGGGUUUUAAAUUUAUUUUAUAUAGACAUUUUAGAGUUGGUUAGUUGCUUUAUUUUAAUAGUUUGUCACAGGAUUGACUAUGUGGUUACUUAACACAUAUGUUUUCAUGACUCGAAUGCUUGAAUGCAUAGACAACGAUAUUUCAAUGCAAUCACCAUGACUUCUCCAGUUUGACUAUUGCAAUAUUACGAGGGCUUUACUUUUUUAAUGAUGUGGUGAAUGUAUUGAUAAGCGAAUACAAUCAGUCAUUGCAAAGCAUGAAAUGAAACAGUAUUAUAACCACCCCUCCUAAGACAAGUGCAUGAUUUUACUUCAUGUAUGAGAACACGUGCUGAUGAUUCUAUUGAAGCAUUAUUGCUAAUAUAAUAGCACUUUAAUUCAUGCAAGAAUAGCCUGUGGAAAAAAAAACUUUGGCAGGAAUCAUUUUUGAAGGUCUACAGCAGCACUAAUAAAAUAAAAUAAGGGCUCUUAAAAAUUCUAUUUUGCAACAGCUUGCAAGGAGGUUGCUAUAUUUAUAUUUUGUUAAUAAGGGGGUUGAAGGUGGCACAGUCAUGAAACUUUAGAAGCAUGUAAAGAGGCACUGGAAAAUAAAAAUAGAUAAUGUCCAGUAUAGAAGAAUAAAAGAAAAUAAAUGGAUAAAUAGAUUAGAUACCAUGAUGCCUGAAGAUUUAAAUAGAAAUAAAUUGUAGAUUGUUACAUCAUUAGCUAUAUAGUGAAUGAGUCAUUAGCUAUAUAGUGAAUUAGCUAUAUAGUGAAUUAGCUAUAUAGUGAAUGACAGGAGGCUGUGUGGUCCAGUGGUUAAAGAAAGUGGCUUGUAACCAAGAGCUCCCCGGUUCAAAUCCCACCUCAGCCAAUGACUCAUUGUGUGACCCUGAGCAAGUCACUUAACCUCCUUGUGCUCCGUCUUUCGGGUGAGACGUAGUUGUAAGUGACUCUGCAGCUGAUGCAUAGUUCACACACCCUAGUCUCUGUAAGUCGCCUUGGAUAAAGGCGUCUGCUAAAUAAACUAAUAAUAACAUCACAAAGACAUUAAAUUCAAAGAGAAAUAAAUGUGGUUACCAUGGCAUCAAAAGCCUAUAAACACCUCCAGUGUUUGUUUUCAGACACACUUUCCCUUGACAAAAGUAAACAUAACGAAACAUUGGGAAGUUGGUUCUUUGAACUUUGAUGAUGUUUCUCUGUACUUGUUGAUUAUGCUUCGGAUACCACACCUUGAAAAUCAAGUGAUGCGAGCUAUUUCACUCAAUGUUUUUCCUUCUUAAUGCAAGUCAAGGUUGUUAUAAUAGUAGAAAACACUAGUGGAGGCUUUGAGUAAAUUGUUGAUGCUCAUAAUGCAUCAGAGUAGAAAAAAUGCAACAUGUCUAAGACUUUUGC